GCGCCAGUAGCUCAGCUGGAUAGAGCAACGGCCUUCUAAGCCGUAGGUCGGAGGUUCGAAUCCUCCCUGGCGCGCCA
This 77-nucleotide transfer RNA is filed under the name Nitrospirota bacterium. Its description in RNAcentral is "Nitrospirae bacterium (marine sediment metagenome) tRNA-Arg". It matches the Rfam family "tRNA". From Rfam's summary of the family: Transfer RNA (tRNA) molecules are approximately 80 nucleotides in length. Lineage: Bacteria; Pseudomonadati; Nitrospirota. The record is from RNAcentral.